GUGCCAGCAGCCGCGGUAAUACGGAGGGUGCAAGCAUUGAUCGGAAUUACUGGGCGUAAAGGGCGCGUAGGCGGCAAGAUAAGUCAGGUGUGAAAUUCCGGGGCUCAACCCCGGAGCUGCAUUUGAAACUAUCUAGCUAGAGUUCAGCUAGGGUAAACGGAAUUCCACGUGUAGCGGUGAAAUGCGUAGAUAUGUGGAAGAACACCAGUGGUGAAGACGGUUUACUGGGCAGAGACUGACGCUGAGGCGCGAAAGCAUGGGGAGCAAACAGGAUUAGAUACCCUGGUAGUCCAUGCCUUAAACGAUGCAUACUAGAAGUAGGAGGGCUCAACCCCUUUUGUUUCGGAGCUAACGCAUUAAGUAUGCCGCCUGGGGAGUACGCUCGCAAGGGUGAAACUCAAAGGAAUUGACGG
This 413-nucleotide ribosomal RNA is filed under the name uncultured bacterium. RNAcentral describes it as "bacterial SSU rRNA". It matches the Rfam family "Bacterial small subunit ribosomal RNA", at positions 505 to 916 of the family's 1533-position model. The record is from RNAcentral.